RNAcentral lists this long non-coding RNA (821 nucleotides) under Penaeus japonicus. RNAcentral's name for it is "uncharacterized LOC122259963". Lineage: Eukaryota; Metazoa; Arthropoda; Malacostraca; Decapoda; Penaeidae. The record is from RNAcentral.
GUUUGUGUAUUUGUGUUUGUGUAUUUAUGCAUAUGUACAGCUAGUAUAUGUUUAUGUUCAGCUACAAAUUCAGAUAUCUUGAGAUUGCUCUAUGCAAGAAAUAAUAAUGAAAUACCACAUUAACCCUCUCUGGACGGGUGGUACACCACAGGUACCGCGCAUUCAAGGCCCGUUCGCACGGCUUAUUUAAUUGAUUUAAGCCUAUGCGUUCGAGAGCCUCGGCAUUACAACAUGCACGGCUGGAAUGCCCCCGGCAUGAAUGGGUUAAUAUAAAUGUGACAUAUUUUUUUCAAUGUGGCAUUUCAUUAUUCCAUCUUAUAUGCAAAUGUCUGUACAUGUACAUUGAGUAUAUAUUUGUGUUUGUAUGUGUAUAUGCACAUAUUUUUUCUGUUCUUUUCUUUAUUAAUUCUAUUCUAUAAUUAUUAAUCAUUAAUUCUCUUCCUUUCCAGAUUAGGGACUCUCGGUUUAGCCGAAAGAGGUGGAUCAGAUGGCAGGGAACCACAAGACUGUUUAGGUUGUCGCCUUGUUGGAGGAGGUGGCUGUCUUGCGGCAUCUACUUAUGUCGUCUAUCACGGUUCAAAAAACAGUCAUCCAGUCGGACGGAUUUUCACAUUUCUAUUUGCAGGAGCCCUUGGAGGAAUUGGCAUUUCACGACUGUUUGGACUUCCACCAUUUGAAAAGAAACAGCAAAAUGACAUACCUACUCAGUGAUAAUACUGAUGUUAUCUCUAGUGAAAUGUAAAUACUGCUUUGAAACUUUACUUAUUAAUAUCAUAUGUAUGUAGGAAUGUUUGAAGCCAAUUAAAAUUACAUCCUUUUCC